GACAGCUCUCAGGACUGAUAGCUGGAGGAGUGGGUGACACUUCCUUCCUCUCUCUCAACCUAGGAAGCAGUGAGAAGAGGAAGAAUGAUGGAGUGGAAAUGAGUUUAACUCUAUGAAAAGCUGUGAAUGACACAAAACCCCUUCAGCCAAGAGCUGAUGAGCUCAUCGACACUCCCUCUUGCUCCCCUGUAGAAACCAGAUGCACGGAAAUGGUGACGAGUCUUUGCCACCUGCUGCUGCCACUGUGAGCUGAGCUUCCCUGGGGCGCCUUCCUCAACAUGAUGGGCUGAGGCCAUCUGAAGCCACGAAACGAAACCAAUCUUCUUCCCUUAGGUUCUGGUGUGUGGUGUGGCAGUUGUGGACACCCCCACGGCCGCCAUAUUAUCUCAGAGGGAAGGACCACGUGCUUCAGGGGCAGCUCCGUUCCAUGAACACACGUUUCUGGUUUCUAUUUUAGGCUCGUAAUUUUCCCUCCCCUGCUUAUUAUUUAUGGAUUCCAGAUCACCACCCACUUGGAAAACAUAUAAAGCUGGCUUGUGUGUGGAGGGAACAGCUCUGGGGAGGUCAGCCAACAAAGCAGUGGUAUGAAAAUCACCCAUCAGCACAGGGCUCCAUUCAGGGCCACAAAUCAAGUCCAGGUGUUCUCUGCCUGGGGCAGAGGUGGGUUCUCGGUGCCUGCUGCCCACGAUCAAGAAGUCUCUAUCCAAGGCCGAGGUCAAACUGUGUUUAAAAGGAUAUUACAGAAACCGUAUGUGUGCACAAAAACAUACUGCCCUCUUUCCUUCCUAGGGCUGGCAAAAUGUGCUGGUCCUUUUUUUCCUUGUAGUUUUUUUCUGAACUGGAAACAAUGUAACAACCAGGGGGAGACACCUACUGCCGCCACUCCCAGCAUAAUCCAGCCAACAGGGACACUGAAGACAGGAAUGAACUAUGGACGUUUCCAGCAAUGGUUUUUUAUACAAUGACAGCAUUUGAGGGACCUACUGGACAUUUUAAGGAGCCAG
This is a long non-coding RNA of Peromyscus eremicus (cactus mouse), 1004 nucleotides long. RefSeq lists it as uncharacterized. The transcript is spliced from 4 exons. The record is from RefSeq and is a predicted model, not a curated record. Lineage: Eukaryota; Metazoa; Chordata; Mammalia; Rodentia; Cricetidae.